GUGCUUUUUUAAGCAGCACCUGUACUAAAAUUGGAACCAUACAGAGAAGAUUAGUUUGGCCCCUGUCCAAGCAUGAUACUCAAAUUUGUGAAGCAUUCCAUAUUUUU
Molecule: small nuclear RNA, 107 nt
Organism: Octodon degus (degu)
Lineage: Eukaryota; Metazoa; Chordata; Mammalia; Rodentia; Octodontidae
Source: Ensembl